This 1920-nucleotide long non-coding RNA is filed under the name Nicotiana tabacum (common tobacco). Its description in RNAcentral is "long non-coding RNA (NTAB_LNC012956)". Lineage: Eukaryota; Viridiplantae; Streptophyta; Magnoliopsida; Solanales; Solanaceae. The record is from RNAcentral.
UUUAAAUUCCUCUUCCCGUGGCUGUCUCCAUCCGUGCCUCUUAGUCAAUUGUUGCGCUUUGACCAUUUAACCAAAUCACGUGUCAUGUCACGUCAUCUUUAAUAUAAACUCAGUUUUUUCCCAAUACAUUAAUGUCACGUAAGCUUGGUCAAUGAUUAGAAUCAUUUAAAGUACUAGUUUUGAUCGAGUUGAGAUGUUUGGAUGGAACUUUGUGGAGUAUAUGGACCGAAAUAUCAAACCGAAGCAAGUACAAGUAUCUCCUAGCCUAUUUUGACUAAUAGUUAGUGUAAUUCUUAGAUUUAGUCACUAAAGCUAAUUUAAGGUAUAUUUAGUCGCCUUCUUAGAUAUCUAUAUAUACCAUAACACCUAUUUAAAUUUCUUGUGGUUCGACCUCGGUUCUUAAUUGGAUUAUUAUUGCAACGACCGUUGUACUUCUCCUUUGGAGGUGCAUGAGUGGUUUACUUAAAAAUAAAUUUGUGCAAGAGUUAUAAUUCAAAACUUAAUUAAACAUCAUACUUCGAAAUGAAAAACUUGACCAGUAAGCUAUUGCACCAUGGACAACUGCCCUCUUCCUCUAAUGUGGGGCUACAGUAUUUUAUUUAUUUCUAAAUAAAAGCAACAAGUCAUGCGAAAAGUAAAAUGUAAAUUUCUACAUAAAGAACUUGAAGACGAUAAAAAAGAAGACAAUGAUAAAAGGAAUCACGGAAUAGAAAUUGUCGGACCUUGAUGCUGGAGGAUCACCUGCCGAACGUGUUGGUGUCACCUCAUAAUUUGAAUAUGAAUUAUAAUUGCUAAAUGAUGGUGGAUCCUGACGAAUUUGGUUUGGUGAUCGCUCAUUAUAAUUAUUUCUUCGUUUAUUAUUUCGAUUUGAUGCAACGCGGUCUGUAGAUGGUUUAUUGCUCCUAGGUAAACGUGGAGGAUCGUUGAAUAUCUUUCCUUCUUUUUGGAUAAAUACAGAUGGACAGUUCUCCUUCCUGUUUUGAUGUCGCAAAUUGCCUACCACAGCCAUAAUUGACUGUUGUGUUGUUGAAUUUUCGGAAUCCAUCUUUCAGAUCUCUGCGAUUAUUUCCUUUUCCGAUUUUCCAAUCCCUGAUAAAACAAAUACAGCUUCUAAAUCAAAAUUAUAAAUCAUCAAAAUACAACAACAAUUCAGUGAAAUCUCAUGACUAGUGGAGUUUGGGGAGGGUAGUGUGUAUCCGAGCCUUACCCCUAUCCCAAAGAAGAGAGAAGUUGUUUCCAAUAGCUGAAGGUAAAUCAUCAAAAUAAAGUGCUGAUAUUACGUAAAAAGUUUUAUUAUCAAAAUUUGUGGUCUAAAGAGCGCAAGAAGUUUAUAUGUUUGCAAUUUUGGCUCAAAUCUUGAAAACACAAUAAUAACUGAAAAUACCUAAGUGAAAUAUCCGUAGAGAGAACAAAAGUAGUAACAGUAAUAAGUAAUAGCAGUAGUACUGUCUUUACAAACACAAAAUCUUUUGCUUUUUCACUACAAGCUUUGUUUAAUAGUAAGAACGAAGCUUUUAGGAAAAAGAAAUCUAGCUUGCUUUUACAGCCAGAAAAAAUAGCAGAAAAAUUUCAGGAGCGAAAGAGGAAAAUAGGAAAAACCAAACCCAAACUAAUUACCUUCUUAGUAUGAGUAGACAAAAUUGCACACGGAAAGGACUUGAGGCUUGUCAUUUAUAGUGUCAGAUCUGGCUUUACGAAACAACGAAAGAGUUGACCGAAAACAAAAGGGAAAAAAGGACGAGAUACGGAAUAAGGAGUGCGAAAAAUUUCCGCCAUCCUUGUUUGAAGUCCGAGUUAUUCCCUUAAAAAAAAAUGAUCCUACGUUUAUGGUGCAAAUAGAUGUUUUUAUAUUUUGGGAAAUUUUCAGGAAGGGUGAAAAUCAUCUAUACCCCCGAACUUUAUUUUAAAAAUCAAACUCUC